CUGGAAUGAAUGCAUCCAGCACACAAUACAUAGAUUUUGCAUUUAAUACCGGUAAGUUUAACGGCAGCUCUCUAAGCGUAUUUUCAAGGGGAGAACCUGGGCUUGCGGUGGUCGGAGGAAGAGGACGAUUCAUGAUGGCAACAGGGGUUGCACUAUUUAACCCUAUCCUUAUAAAUGCCACCACUGUCAUUAUUGAAUUAAACGUUACUGUAAUUCAUUACUAAGGUGCUAUUUACAGACGCAGUUCUCAUCGAAUGUGAAAAUUAAAAUUCUCAUACUUCAUCAUCGUACUUUAUUAUUAUAUUAGAAAUAAAGAUCCAUGGUUGAGCUAUUUGAAUAUAAAUAUUUUUCAAUUGAUGUAAUUGAAGUAAAUUUUUUUGAAUAUAUAACAUAUAAUUUACAACAAUAAAAUUAAAAUUUAAACAAUAAAAUUAAAUAUGUAAAAAAAAAUCGAUAAAUUCGAAAUGGUACACUAAAAUAUACUGGUAUCAAUAUUUACCAGUACCAUGAUCCCUUUUUUCUUCUUUCUUGGUAUUCUUUUUGUUUGCUUUUCUGUUCACGUUUGAGGUUCGUUGUUGACCUUCACAACAAUAUCACCUCUAAGGUAUGAUCUAGCAUAUUUCUUCCUUAACACACCUUUUCAUGUUUGAGGAUAUAACAUGUCUUACUACUACUUUGUUUCUUCCUUAACACACCUUUUUAUCUGUUUCUAGAAUUACUUCUAAAUUAGCUAUUAAAAAUGAAAGACCAAAAUAUCCCACUAAUAUUAAUUUUAAUUGACUUACAUUAUUAACAAUUAAACAUGCUUCCUUUAUUAAUUAACCUUUAUUAAUGAAAUUAAGUGGAUGUUAUCAUAAACUUCCAUAUAAUAACAAUGGUUUAUUAUCCAUUUUAGGCCAUUUGCAUAAUUGCUAAUUAGGUCUUCGAACGUUUUCUAAAUUAAAAUUAAAUAACGAUUGAAGUUUUACAAUUUAAUUCUUGUACUAUAUUUAAUGAUUUUUCGGAUUUAAUUACCCAACCUACUGUUAAUAUAUUUUUCAUACUAAGUUUAUAAAUACUGAUUAAUUAAAAUGAUUAACUAAACUAUCCUAGCAAAAUAUAUAUUUGAAAUUAUUUUUAAUAUAAUAUACAAAUUUUAUUAAAAUUUUAAUUUUAACUAUUAUACUCCUUAAAUACUUUAACCAUAAAGUUACGUACGCAAUUAAAUUUUAAUAAAAUUUGUAUAUUAUAUUAAAAAUAAUUUCAAAUAUUUUUGAAAACUAUACAACUUUGGUUUCCUAUUUAUAACUUUUUUGUGGUACAUCAAUUAUUUAAAUCCUGAUUAUUUCUCGAGAAAAUAAACAUCCGGUCAAUUGGUCACAAUAUGGGGUUCGAUCCAUUGUUUAGAUUUUAAUCAUUUGGGUAUGCAACUCUUUUUUUUAAAAAUAUCGUUGAUUGAACUUUAACUCAAUUGUUAACAUAUUAUUAUAGCAACAAUAAAGGGGACGUGGGUUUAAGCAUGCAUAUAAAUGUUUUUAUCGUCCAUUUGUGAGUGUGGGAGGUUUAUGAAUAAUUUCGGGACUGUAUAAAAAAGAUUACGUACGCAAUGUGACAAUUAUUAACUCUAUAUGCCCCGCCAAAUUCAAAAGUCCUUUUCAUAGUACAACAAGGGUAAAUGCUAAAAAUGAUUAUCUAAUUAUUACUGUUUUUCAAUUUUGGUCGCCCAUGUUUAAAAAUGUUUAUCUUAGUCAUGUUACUGAAAUUUAAUAUUUUGGCCACGCCUUCGUUAAAUCACUAAUGGUGAUGUCUAUUUUAGUCACGUUACCAAAUUUUAAUAUUUUAGUCACGUUUCCGUUAAAUUACUAAUGGUGACAUUUUUUAAUUUACAUAAUAACAAAUUUAGGCCUCAAAUAUCUAACUCGAUUGAAAAAAAUAAUUGAAUUAAUUAAUUAAUUAAUAUUUUGAAAAAUAGAAAACUAUCAUAAACAUUUGUUGGAUUAAAAUUUUUUUUAUUUUAUUAAAUGUGGAUUAAUAUAUGACGAAGGACAGUACUAGAAUGAAGUUAUUUGGUCUAAAGGGAAUUGCAGAAGAUACAAUAAUUUAUAAUGACCAACACAUCAAUAACAUGUGAAAAACACGAAAACCCUAUCCUUAAAAAUGCCACCAAUGCCAUUAUUGAAUUAAACGUUACCGUACUUCAUUACUAAGGUGCUAUUUACAGACUCAAUUCUCAUCGAUUGUGACAAUGCCAUGAUUCUUCUCCACUUGAUUAGAAUAAAUGUACGAGAAUAAAUUAAAAUUCUCUUACUUCAUCAUUGUACUUUAUUAUUAUAUUACAAAUAAAGAAUAACAAAAUAAGCUGGCCGAGAAUACUCUAACUUGCCACAACAAAUUAUUCGAUAUAAUUGUACUAUUAAUUGAUAUGUAUAACUAUUUUAGUUAAUUUAUUAGUUAAUUUAGUGGACAUUAAUAUAAAAAUUGAAUACUUUAAACCUAAAUUUUAUUUUAUUUUAUGUUAAAUAUUUUAAAAUUUACAUUUAAACUUAAAAUACAAUUAUUAAAUUAAGUUAUUGAACCUAAUUAGUAAUUUUAAAACUUAUAUUUUGAUAUAAAUAUAUUUUUGUAUGUAAGAUUGAUAAUGCUCUAGAAUAACGUAUUUUUAUGUAUUAAUCAUGUGUUUAUUCUGAGCUUGAUCCUACUAAUUUGAGCUAUUUAUGUCUUUUUAUCUUUUCGGGACUGAUUUGGAGGCAAAAGCAAAAUUAAGAGACAAAAGUGCGAAUUUAGAGACACAAUGGGCUGAUAUGCGACACAGGAAAAAGAUUGUGCCAAAAGUGCGAGCAUGGAAGACACAAGGACUAAAAACGCAAAAAGAAGAGAUUUUAUUUUAUAAGACUCCAUUUUAUUUAGAUUAAGAUAAUUAAUAUUAAGAUAAUUAUUAGGAUUAUUUAAUUUUAGGAUUUUAUUUCAAUUAUUUUUAUUUAUCUUUAAUUAAAUGUAUUUAUCUUUUUAGAAUUUAAGUUAGACUAUCUCCCUAGCACUAUAAAUAGGGGGUGAGGUGACUCUAUUUGGGGUGUUCAUCUUUUUCUGUAAACACUCUCCCCCUGAAAGUCUAGGCUUUUGUUUCUUCAUAUUUUCUUUCAAUAAAAUUCUUUUUUCCAAUUUUAUAUUUGUUUUUUUUCCACCAUUAUCAUGAGCCACUAAAACCUAUCUAGCCGAAAGUUGUCAAUAUUCCCCAAAAAGGGUUCUUGAGACCUAGAAUCUGUACUUAGCCUUCUCGCCAAGUAUUCAUCAUUUCUCCGCACUACGGGUUGACGCUUCAGUCCAUGGCCCUUAAGAAGUAAGCUUUUCAGCAUAUGCAAAGGCGGCCGCUUUGUAUGUUUUGGAAGGAUUGCAUAGUCGGUUCGUUAACUUACUGCAUCAGAGGUUGGCGAGCCAAAGAGACAAAAUGGCGUGGGAUUCGCCAUUGAGAAGCCUUGAUCUAGCAUAGAUUACUGGCUAGAGUUAGGUCCCCUAAAAAUCGUAAGUCUAAUCUUCUAUAGCUGGUGGUCAGGUUCCAAUAUUUUUGAAAAAUACAAAAUUUUGGUUCUUUGCUUACACUUUUUCUUUUGGUACAUCGGUGACUUGAAUCUAGGCUAUUUUUAUAGAAAAUAAACACUCGAUCAAUGGAUCACAACUUGCGAUUUGGUUCAUUAUUUAAAUUUUAAUAAUUUGUUAUAGGUGCAUUGAUGAUUCGAUUUUAUGCUAUUUUUAUAGAAAAUAGAUACUCGAUCAAUAGACCACAAUUUGGGGCUUGAUUCAUUAUUUAGAUUUUAACCAUUUGUUAUGCAACUUUAAAAGAAAAAGAAACAUUGCUAAUUGAUCUUUAACUCAAUUGUUACUAUUGUUGUUGUAACAAUAAGUAGGAUGUGGGUUUCAACACCUUUAAGUGCUUUUAUCUCCAAUUUAUGAGGUUUAUGAGUAUUUUAAGCAUUGUAUAGAAAAUUUAUGUAGGCAAUGUGACAAUUUUAACUCUAUAUGCCUUGCCAAAUUCGAUUGUUCUUAUCAUAGUACAACAAGGGUAAACUCAAAAAAUAGUCGCCUAAUUAUUAGCCUGUUUCAAUUAUGAUCAUUCAGGUUUAAAAUUUUCUAUUUUAGCUACAUUAUCGAAAUUUAAUAUUUUAGUCACGACUCCAUUAAAUCAUUAACGGUGACAAUUUUUUAUUAGUAUAAUAACAAAUUUAACCUCAAAUAUUUAAUUAGGUUUAAAAAAUAAUUUAAUUAAAUAGAUGAAUUAAAUUUAUUUUAGUUAAGUAAAUAAUAUUUUUGAAAGUAAAAAAAUAUUAACUAAAAUAUAUGGGUUGAUUAAAUAUUCAGAUAUAUGUACGAUAUAUGAGAUAGGCCCAAUAAGCUCAUCCAAUGUGUGAUGGGCAACACCCAAGGUUCGAGAGGGAGUAUUGUUGCCCUCCUGGUAACAGUACUGAGAUUAUAAAAAUAAUAUUAUUUUUGGUUAUCUUCAACCUAUAUUUAAGUGGACCCAAUCCACAUAUCAAUCAUAAAACAGAAUAAUUUAUAACAUCAGCACAUCAAGCAGAUGUAUGGACAAUACAAACCAUUCAAACGAAAAUAAAAAAAGCAGGGUAGGAGACUUCCAAUCUAAAAAUUGAUUUAAAGCAAGUGGAUCAUUUAAUUUUAUAGGCAGAAUGGUGUUUACGUGAAGUUAUCCUUAUUUAAAAAUGUAGCAGCCAAUUAGACCAAGUUUGUGUUGCCUGGUCAAAAUUUGUUGUCUUUAAUAUUACUAGUGAGAACUCAUGCAGGUAUUAUAUAAAAUGUUUUGGACAGUAAAUUAUUUUCAUAUCUGCGGGUUUUAUCAGUAUAAAUGAAGCAGCAAUUCUAUAGCUUUAAUCUACAUUUCGAACCAGAAAUUAUAGUAAAGCAGAGACAAUGAGAGGAACAUGGAUGUUGAGUUGGAUUCUGAUCAUCUGCCUCUCCCAAGUAGCAGUGCAGAGCCAAUACUACUCGGAGACCCUACCAUAUCAUCCCAGGCCAGUUAAGGUCACCAAUCUUCACUUCUUUAUGCACAGAACUACGGGUGUUACAAUAGUCGUGGUAGCCCAAGCUAACAGCACAAGCAACGACAAUAAUUCAUCAGUGCCAUUUGCCUCCUUAUUUGCCAUUAAUGAUCCCCUCAGGACUGGUCCUGAGCCUGACUCAGAGUUGAUUGGAAAUAUUCAGGGUAUUGCGUCAGUGACCGGAAUGAAUGCAUCGAGCACGGAAUACCUAGAUUUUGGAUUUAAUACUGGUAAGUUUAACGGUAGCUCUCUAAGCGUAUUUUCAAGGGGAGAACCUGAUCUUGCCGUGGUCGGAGGAAGACGACAAUUCAUGAUGGCAAGAGGGGUUGCACAAUUUAAUCCUAUCCUUGUAAAUGCCACCAAUAUCAUUGCUGAAUUUAACGUUACUGUAAUUCAUUACUAAGGUGUUAUUUACAGACUCAAUUCUCUUGGAUUGUGAAAAAGUCAUAUGAUUUUGCUCCACUUGAUUAGAAUAAGUGUAUGAUAUAUAUAUAUAUGUUGAUUUGAUUAAAAAUUAAAAUUCUCAUACUUGAUCAUUUUACUUUAUUGUUAUAUUACAAAUAAAGAUUAAUUUCUUAGCUACAAAAAGGCAUAUAAAUAUAUCUAUAGAGUAUUUAUCUUCAUCUCUUAUAGAGGUUGUUUUAUGCAAAACUUGACCAUCAUGAAAACUUAAACAAACUAAAGUGGGCAUUGAUGUAUUUGAUUCCUUGGCACUUGACAAUUAUUUGUUUAUUUUGCUCAAUAUAUCAUAACAAGUAUAUACUUGUGUAGAGAUGAAUAAAUCUUGGGAUGUUGGAAUGACUUUAACUUCCAAGAAAUGAUUCAGAUCACUAAGAUCUUUACGAGAGAAUCUCUCGGCCAAAGUUUGAACAAAGUUAGAGAGAAAAGCUUUAUUGUUUUUAUUGACACCAAAUUUGGUCGGAUUCGAUAAACUCAUAUUCGACCAUACUUAGGCCUUUAAUAGAUCGAUAAAUUAAGGCAUAAUAUCAAAUUUAGCUCUCAAUAUUUACAUGUUUUACUCAAUUUAGCUCUUAUCUCUUUUUCUAGCUAAAUUUGAGCUGCAACCUUUUGAAAGGAAUCGAAUUUGACUUCAAACCUUUCAAAAAGAGUCAAAUUGUAGUUUUGUUAUUGGAAAUGCUAACUAAAAUGUUAAACUUUUAAACAUCAUAGCUCUCAUGGCAAUCCACAUGUACUUUAUAUUAAUUUUCUUUUAAUUUUUAUGAAAUUUUUAUAAUUUUACUUUUUUAUAAUUUAUUAUUUUUAAAUUAUUUAUUGAAGUGACAUAUAAAAUAAAAAAUAUCAUAACAAUAUAAAGUACACGUGGAUUGCCAUACCGACAUCAUUAAAAAUUUAUUCUUUUUGUCAUCAUUUUCGUUAAAAAAGAGAUAUUUAUAAGAAUAAAUCCUAUUUUCAACAAAUCUCAGAGUUUUUCAGUUUUUCAUAGAGAGAAAUUAACUUUUCGACUGGAAGUCAACCAAGUUAUCUAUAACACCCAUACCUGACCCGAAAAUCGGGUCUGAGAUAUAGAAUGCCACAUUCGUUGUCGGAGCAACUUCGAUCGAUUACAUACAAAUUUCAUUGUUAAUCAUUUAUUUACAAGUAUUAAAAGCUUAAAACAUAAUAUAUAAUCAUUUCGGGUCAUAUAUGAGCUUAUGAAAGCUCAAUACCAUCCCAAGGUUGAACUAGGAUUGAACUGAAAAGUUUUCAAAAUAUAUCUGGUGGGUAUCGCCUCAUUAAAUAUAGUAGCCAAACUUCCAAACCUGAUAACCAAAUUGCAAAACUUCCAAAAUAAAAUAGGGUUGACAUCAUGACCUCAAGCAAGGGACGUCACAAUGAGAUGGCCUGAGGUCGUGACAUUCAAGUUGUCAAGUUGCAACAUCCAUGGCAGACCACUAAGUUCCUUUUCCAAAGAUACCAACCUAGCAUAUGCAGGUACAGUUUGACCCUAAGGCCCUAUCCAUCCUUCCAAUACAUAUAGAUAUGAUUAAUAUGCCAUUUUAAGUAAUUAAUAUAAAAUUAAUACAUGACCAAAAUCAUUUUCAUAUCUUCACCAUUCAUGUACAUUAGUUUGACCAUUUUCAACAUUUAUCAAGAUAGCCUUAGGUACAUGCCAUUUAACCAAAAUGAAAUGAACUAUACAAACUCAGUUGAGUUGAAUACAAUAGCCCAGAUGCUAACUUAACUUCCUAGGGCGUUGAGGAAAACCUGAACCUGUUCCUGUAACAACUAAACCGUAUCCUAAGCGAUAGGGCUCAGUGGUAUUUUCAUGCUUCAAGAUAGUAUAACAUAACAUUAAUACCAUGAUUUAAUACAAUGCAUAUGCAUAACAAUCUAUAUUUAAACAUUUCAUGUCCUACAAAUACAAAUCAUUUCUCAUCAUCUUCUAAUACAUAUAUACAUACCUAUCGCAAUGAUAAGCCAAUUCAUUAAUCAAUCAUCAUUCAUUAACUUAUUCUCUAGCAAAACAUCAAUUAUGAAUAAAAAAUACAAUUAUAUACUUAAACAACAUGCCAUUCAAUUUUAUAUUUAUUUAACAUCUACCAUUCAAUCCUUUUUCCUAAGUCAAUUUGCUCAUUCACAAUAGUUUCAGCCUUUAGGGCUCAUUUUCGAAUGGUUUGCUCAAUAGCUUAAAUGUUCUUUUUAUCAAAAUUCACAUAGGAAAAUAAGUGAGACCAUAUUAUUAAACCAUUUCAUUUUACGAUAUCAUUUGUCAUGUUUACCAUUUAUAACCCUAUUAACAUGACUCGGACUCGAACAGAUACACAAAAUGUCCAACUAGCAUACCAAACUGGCAUCGAAGAGCAUCAUUGGAUAAAUCAAAGCAGGGCAAAUCGGGCACAUAAAGUGCAUUUUGGUGUAAAAAGUGCAAGUGCAUACUGGCACACGAAGUGUAUCCUGGCACAUGAGGUGCAUCCUGACGCAUAAGCUCAUAAUCCAGUACACAAACCAAUCCUAUAGCAUGCCAAUUAUACUCGAACAACUAAUAGGGUACCAACAUUCAAUCUAUUUUACGAUUCAAUACAUAAAACAUUCUUGACCGCCUAUAAACGUGUUACCGUUUAUAGUAUAAAUAACACAUCAAAAAUAUAAUAAAUAAAUCUGAUGGUGUCGGUAAGCUUAUGGGUCAAAUUUUAAUAUAGUAUGUGUUAUAACGAAACAUCGAUAAGUAUUCUGAAAAUCGUACCUAAGGGAUUGCAUAUUGGAGAAAUUAAUAUUAAGUCAAUUAUAGAAAAUAGGGAAGAACGAACACCCAAAUAUUUUACAUGGAAAACUCCUUCGAAGAGGAUAAAAACCAUGGACAAAUGAGGCUUCAAGUUUCCACUAAAUUUGUAAACAAACAAGAGGACAAUAUCGAGAAAAUAAACCUAAAUGUACUAAACGUACAAACCCAAACCCCAAAAAUAAAGUCCUAACUUGGAAACUAAAUUCUUUACAUAGUUACUACGAAAUUCUCACAAAAAAUCAUAUGCGACUACAUCUUGUCGCCUUUAAAGAAAAGCACUUGUUGAUUGGCUUGUUAGUUUUUUGGCCACUCAAAAUAAGGAUACAAUGGACCCUUUAAAUAGGUGAAGAUUAGAGUUCUAAUCAUACUAAAAUAUCCCUAAAAUAAUCAAAGUUUGACUGAGAGAAUAAGUCCUACUUAGAGUAAAUAAUGUGGUUGCUUACGUGGAGAAUACAUCGCUUGAUGGGUGUCGAAUCCAUAAAAUAUAACUUUUCAUGCCUAAACGAAAUGUAAAUCAACAAUACAAAGAGUAGGGUUGAUCCUACAGGGGUUGAGAUAUCUAAAAUUGUUGUUCAUUUUAACCAAAACAUGUGGUAGGCAACUUUCAUGCCCAUGACGUGUGUCGAGCUAUAUGAAAAAUAGAAGAGAGGGAUUAAAUCUGACUAUAAUAAAAUAACAUAAAUAAAUAACUAUAUAGUAAAACAAACAUUAUGAAAACAAAAUUGAGUAAACUGAUGAGACAACGCUCUAACUUUAGGAAUAGUUUUGGCCCUGGUUUCUAGUUGAUCCACGGCAAUAGAUUUUCACCUCCAACCGAUAAGUCAAUUAUAAUGAUUAAGGAAAAACCUCUAACCACUUGCCUUUUUGUACGUAAAUUAAAUGCGAGAACAAUUCGACAUGUAACACUUAUGAAGUAAUCAACCAUAAAAUUGACUUCUACGAUUUAGUUCCUCGUUAACCAUGCAAACAAGAUGGAAUCGACUUGAAUCAAAGGUCUCUAUUGUGCCGGUCGUUUAAAACCUAUCAAUAAUUCUAAUAAUACUCUAAAAUGACGUGUUUUUAUACAUUAAUCAUGUGUUUAUUUUGAGCUUUAGCCUACUAAUUUGAGCUAUUUAUGUCUAUUUAUCUUUUAGGGACUAAAUUGGAGGCGAAAAGUAAAUUCAAGGGAAAAAGCAUCAAUUUGGAAAUCAAAUGGGCCAAUAUGCAACGUGGGACAAAUAUGGUGCCAAAAGUACGAACAUGGAAGGCACAAGGACUUAAAAGCAAAUAGAAGAGAUUUUAUUUUGGAAGACUCUAUUUUAUUUUAUUUUAUUAGGAUAAUUAAUAUUAAGAUAAUUAUUAGGAUUAUUAAAAUUUAGGAUUUUAUUUUAAUUAUCUUUGUUUAUCUUUAAUUAAAUGUAUUUAUCUUUUUAGAAUUUAAGUUCAAUUAGACUAUCUCCCUAGCACUAUAAAUAGGGGGUGAAGUGACUUUAUUUGGGAUCAUCUUUUUCUGUAAACACUCUCCCCCUGAAAGUCUAGGCUUUUGUUUCUUCAUAUUUUCUUUCAAUAAAAUUCUCUUUUCCAUUUUUAUAUUUAUUUUCUUUUCCACCAUUAUCAUGAGCCACUAAAACCCUUCUAGCCAAAAGUUGUCAAUAUUUCCCCAAAAAGGGUUCUUGAGGCCUAGAAUCCGUACUUAGCCUUCUCACCAAGUAUUCAUCGUUUCUCCGCACUCCGGGCUGACGCUUCCGUCCAUGGCCAUUAAGAAGUAAGCUUUUCAGAAUAUGCAAAGGCGACCGCUUUGUAUGUUUUGGAAGGGUUGCAUAGUCGGUUUGUUAACUUACUGCGUCAGAGGUUGGCGAGCCAAAGAGACAAAAUGGCGUGGGAUUCGCCAUUGAGAAGCGUUGAUCUAGCAUAGAUUACUGGCUAGAGUCAGGUUCCCUAAAAAUCAUAAGUCUAAUCUUUGGAGCUGGUGGUCGUAGGCGUCCUCUUCCGCUAUAAUUGGGUUACUUGAGUCGAGAAGGAUCAUCCAAAAGCCAAGGAUUGAGCCCAAGGCGGAAUGAGACAACCGGAGGCUGGAACUUUCCCAUAAGAAUUUCUUUUCUCUUAAAACUCUCUUUAUUAUUUUUAUUAUUUUCGUAAUCAUAAUUUCAGUAAAUUUUAAAUUCUGUUUUUAUUUUAUUUUUUUUGCUUCCAAAAUCAAUUCUUAAAUUCUGUUUUUUUAUUUUUUCCAGGAACGCAGGUUUUCUUGGGCACGAUUCUGCCUAAGAUUUCGAGAAACAAGCAUUCGUAUAAUCCGGUCCCUGAGGAUUCGACCUUACUUGCCCUUUACGAUUUCUCUUUCGUUAUUUUAUAGGGAAUAGGAUAUUUUUGGUGCUCUCAACGACCGCAUCAAAUUUUGGCGUCGUUGCCGGGGACCGGCAACAUACUAAUCUUAUUUUUCUUUAUUUUCUAUGACCAGAUCUGCUCCAGGUACUCUUGCAUUCGACUCAGAAAUCGAAAAGACUGUUAAAGCUAAUCGAAAGGAAACAAAACUAAGGAAAAAGCAGUCAGGGGUGGUUGGAACUCAAAGCAAUCCACCGCCAGAAAUUAGAAUCAACGACGAAGUAGAGUCUAGGGUUAACGAAAACCCUACUCGAAUGUUAGAAAGUAAAGAAGAAGAAGUCGAUUCACCUGAAGAGGUCAUUGACGCUAGGGUUGACGAAAACCCUAAUUUAGCGCAAUAGCAGAUGGCUCAGACAAUUCGGUAACUGGCCGAAGCGCCGACAGAACAACCGCCACUAUGCAUUGCUUAUCCUACUAUGGAUACUGAUUUUGAAUUAAAGUCAGGCUUGAUUCAGCUACUGCCAACUUUUCGUGGGUUACAAAAUGAAAACCCCCACAAGCAUUUAAAAGAAUUCCAUAUGGUUUGUUUGAGUAUGAAACCUCAGGGGGUAAUUGAGGAUCAAAUUAAAUUGCGCGCUUUCUCUUUUUCCCUAGCAGAUUCAGCUAGGGAAUGGUUAUUUUAUUUACCUCCUGGAUCCAUUACAACUUGGGCUGAUCUAUCUCGUUUAUUUCUUAACAGGUUUUUCCCUGCAUCACGAGCGGCAGAGUUAAGAAGAGAAAUCGUGGGCAUAAGGCAAAAAGACGCAGAGACUCUAUACGAUUAUUGGGAGCGAUUUAAGAAGUUGUGUGCAAGUUGCCCACAACACGGUAUAAUGGAACAGUCUUUGCUCUAGUACUUUUAUGAAGGCUUGAAACCCAUGGAGAUGAAUAUGGUAGAUGCCGCGAGUGGAGGAGCGUUAGUCAACAUGACUCCAUAACAAGCAAGAGACUUAAUCUCCACAAUGGCUGCGAAUUCCCAACAAUUUUGAGCCAAUCCUGAACCCCCUAGAAGGGUUCACUAGCUAAGUAAUUCUACCAUUGAGGAUAGACUUGAUAGACUUACUAAUAUUGUGAAUUCCCUUGUUACAGAAAAAUCAAAACCAGCCCGAGUAUGUGGAAUAUGUGCUACACCUGAACAUACGACUGAUGCGUGCCCUAAUCUGUAUGACGAUUCUAUGGCCCAUUUAGAUGCUGUGGGAAAUUUUCCUGGGCCACCACAAAGACGAUACGACCCUUACACCAAUACCUACAACUCAGGGUGGAGGGACUACCCUAAUUUUAAUUAUGGGGCUAAUCUACGAUAUAACUAGCCAUACCAAAAUCGAGCCCAACAACACUCGCAAGAUUCAGGUAAUUCUCUAGAAACUUUGGUCAAUAAAUUAGAAACUAAUGUCCUUGAUUUUCAACAGCAAACUCUCAAUUUCCAAAGAGAAAUGAAGGGUUUUCAGCAGAAAACUGAAGCAUCCAUAAGGGAGUUGACCACAUCAAUUGAGAAAUUAAACUCUCAAGGGAAACUACCAUCAUAAACAGAACCAAACCCGAGGCAGAAUGCGAAUGCAGUAACGUUACGAAGCAGAAAGGUCCUCGAACCAAUUUUUGGCAAGAAUCUUGGUCAAGAACUCGCCCAGGAAACUCCAGAAAACGACGAACAGAUCCGAGCGAAAUCCCCACUACCGAAAAUCCAACCUCCAUUCCCAGGACGAUUAAAUCAGUGUCGAAAAAGUAAGGAAGAUAAGGAGAUACUCGAAACAUUCAGGAAUGUUGAGAUCAACUUACCACUGUUAGAUGCCAUUAGAUAGAUUCCGCGGUAUGCCAAGUUCCUCAAAGAGCUUUACACCAACAAACGAAAACUAACAGUUAAUGAAAAGGUAAGUGUUGGUGAGAAUGUUUCCACAGUGCUACAGCGAAAAAUGUCGGUUAAAUGCAAAGAUAGGGGUAUGUUCGCUAUUCCAUGCAAAAUUGGCCAUUUAGGAAUUAAAAAGGCUAUGUGCAAUCUAGGGGCGUCCAUAAAUGUAAUGCCUUAUUCUAUUUAUGAAUCACUUAACGCGGGUUUUUUGACAAAGACAGGUGUUACCAUUCAGUUGGCAGACAGGUCCAUUGUGCAUCCCGAAGGGGUCCUCGAGGAUGUAUUAGUCAAAUUCAAUGGGCUUAUCUUCCCUGCAGAUUUUUAUGUGAUAAAAAUGGAGGAGGAUAACACUCCUGGGUCUUCAGCCAUCUUGUUGGGGUGACCUUUCCUUAGUACUGCGAAUACUAAGAUUGAUGUACGAAGCGGAACCCUCACGAUGGAGUUUGACGGGGAGAUCGUGAAGUUUAACGUUUAUGGCACUAUUAGUCACCCAAGUGAAGUCUUGGACGUAAACCGUGUCAACAUAAUUGACUCAUCAAUAGAAAAAACUUUUGAGUCAACUUAUAGAGAUAAACCUAAAAUGAUGUUUGAUGAUUUUGAAUCUGUUAAUAAAUUAUUGGCUCCCAUGAAUACUAAACUUCUACCUCCUGUUGUGCAGGCACCAGAUCUGAAAUUAAAACCACUUCCCGAACAUAUCAAAUGCACAUUUUUGGAGAAUGAUGAGACCAUUGCCGACUUAAAAAGGAUCAAACCCUUGGAGGAAAAUACGAAACCAAAGAAAGAGGCGCAAGGCUGAUUAAACCCAAAUAUGGUGGACGUGUUAAAAAAUGAGAAUUUCCAAGCCUAUACAAAUGAAAGAAUUCAUUUGGAACAAUUCCAAUUCUAGUUGAGGCGUCAAGCUAGCGACAUUAAACAAGCGCUUGUUGGGAGGCAACCCAAUCUUUCUUUUUUUUUAUUUAUUAUUUUCCUUUCUUUUUAUUUUUUAUUUUUUAUUUUAUUUUUAUUUUAUUUUAGUUAAAUAUUAAUAAAUUUCUCUUCUUCCAUCUAGGUGAAAUGGAGCGAAAAUACGAAGAAAAAAAAGACAGAAAGUGUGCACCAAAACAACCCUAUCCAUGGUACCAAACAGUUCUAUUCCAGCCCAGAAUGCCAUAUCUCUGCAGCCAAACAAUCUUAUUCCAGCCCUAGAAUCCCUAAAAUCUGCAACCAAACACCCCUUUUCAGCAAAUAAAACCCCCAAACCUUACAUUUUUUUCCCAAAUUUCUCCAUAACCACCGACUCCUCUCUCCUCCACCACCCCUGCCGAUUUCUCAGCCACCAUGGUGAGAACCCGAAGCCGAACCGCCAUUGCACACGUCACCCACCCCGUCUCCACCUCUUGCUGCUUCGCCAUCUUCUUCUCCACCGUGUGCGCCAACUGACGGUAACUACAUGGGGAGUUUUUCUAAACUUUUUUUCUCCACCUAUUUGUUUUCCUUUUACUUUCAUAUCGAGGACUGUAUGUUUUAAGUAGGGGGAGGAAGUUAUUCAUUUUGUUUUAACUGCUGAAUUUUUGUUAUUACUGCUGGUUUGAUUGUUGCUAUUGUUGCUGGCUCUCUAUUUAUUUUUUGGAAUAUCUUGCCUCUUUUCAUGCCCAAGAUUUUACCAGGAAUUGCCUACUGUUUGACCUACAAGUAUGAUUCUUACCUUCUAAGGAAGUUAUGAUUUUUCCCAUAAUUGAUGCCAUCUCCACUGUUUUAUUUUUAUUAGGCUAAAAAUAAUUGUGAUUAAUAGGGUUAAUUCUAUAUUGCUUUUCGUAAAAUUGAUCAAGUUUAAUAUAAAGUGAACACUUAAAAUGAUUGCAUGCUUAAUUAAUGUUCAUGGCUAUUAGGUGAUUAUUGAAACUUAUUUUUGACACUUAAAUUUUUUUUCUUUCCUGAGUUCUCAAGAAUUUUAAAUAUCGUUUAAUUUUUAAUAAAAGUUUUCCAUGGUUAUGAGUACAGCUUAGAUCGUGACUGACUGAGUAACCGGGGUAGGGUGCUUGAGUUGUCAUUCUACUUCGCAUCAAAAGGUUGUGUGACGUGACAAGUAAAACUCCACUAGCCGAGGUUAUGAGUAUGGCUCAAAUCGUGACUGACUGAGUAAUCGGGGUAGGGUGCUUGGGUUGUCAUUCUACUUCGCGUCAAAAGGUUGUGUGACGUAUUGGGUAAAGCUCCGCUAACCGAAAAUAAAUAAUUUUAGGAGUAUGUUGGGCUGAGUAACCGGAGUGGGGUGCUUGGGUUGUCAUCUCUCUUCGCGUCAAAAUGUUUAAUAUAUUCCUAAGUAAAUAAAUAGUAAUAAAAUUUAAAAAAAAAGAAAAAAUAAAAAAAUAAAAAAAAGAAGAAGAAAAAAGUAAGUACUAAUAAAGUUGCACUUCGGGGACUAAAGGAGGAAAUAAUUAAGGUGUCCUAGUAAUUUACCUAAAUAGCAUAACUCAAGUCGAUCUUAAUUUUUGUGUGAAUUAAUUGGAAUAUUUUUUCUGUUUUACUUAAAGUAAGCUUAGAGGUCUCUUUAUUUUUCAUAUGCAUUUUUAACUAAUUUUUAUGAAACUUUGGAGUGGUAUUUCUUUUAUGGCAAAAUCUAGCUUUCACAGUCGAUAGAAACCAUACUUGAGGGCAAGCAUGGGCUAAGUAAGGGGAAUUUGAUAAUACUCUAAAAUGACGUGUUUUUAUAUAUUAAUCAUGUGUUUAUUUUGAGCUUGAGCCUACUAAUUUGAGGUAUUUAUGUCUAUUUAUCUUUUAGGGACUAAAUUGGAGGCGAAAAGUAAAUUCAAGGGAAAAAGCGUCAAUUUGGAGAUCAAAUGGGCCAAUAUGCAACGUGGGACAAAUAUGGUGCCAAAAGUGCGAACAUGGAAGGCACAAGGACUUAAAAGCAAAUAGAAAAGAUUUUAUUUUGGAAGACUCUAUUGUGCCGGUCGUUUAAAACCUAUCAAUAAUUCCCUUGACAAAUACAAUUAUUCAUUUAAUUGGUCACGUCAAUUUGUUCUUCAACACACUGAAUAUGGCAAUUACUAAUUGUUUCGAUUCUUCCAACUAUAUAGAAACAAAGUUUUUAGGCAAAAUGGAAGUUUAAAAUUUUACUUAAACUCAAGCCUGGUGAUAUUUAUAGCAAUAAACCUUUAACCAAAAUUAUAUCUAUGUUUUGUACGAGGUGGUCUAAGUCAAUCCCGACUUUUUAGUGAACGACCUUCUUCGCUAUCCUUAAACCCCGAAUUGCUUUGAGUGUGGGCUUAAACAAAUCGAACCGAAUGCACAGAAUGAAAACAUUUCUUAACUUUCAGUGAAAAUGUUAGUUCUCUCUAUAAAUCGGAAACUAUCACAUUUUCCCAAAAAAUAGAAUUUAUUCUAAAAAAUUUGUCACUACUUUUCCACAGUAAUGGUCGCUAAACUAACUAAAAAUUUGACUAAGGCAAGCGCACCUAUCGAACAGUAGUAUAGUUAUGGUGAGACCGGAAAUAUCGUAUCCAUAAUGACUAAAAGUAUUAGUAAUUACUAUCUUUUUAUUAUCUAGCCUAAGAAUUAAAUGGAUGUUUUUAAACUAAGAUUAACUAUCUAAUUAACUAAGAACACGACAGAGAUUAAAGUUGGAAAAUACUUUUGGAAAACCGAUGGAGAAGACAAUACCCAAGGAAGAAUCCACCUAGACUUCAUUUAUUAAUUCUGAAUUUUAUUCACUUGACUUAAUCCAUAGGAAUCCCUAGCUUAUGUUAAUAUCUCUUUCGAGACUAAAAACAACUAACUCUAGGUUGAUUAAUCGAAAUCUCUUUCUAAUUAAAACCCCUAUUGUCGCAUUAACUCGAUCUAUGGACUCCCUUAUUAUAUUUGACUCUAAUCCGACAGAUUUAUGUCAUCCUAUCUCUAGGAUUGCAUGCAACUCCGCUUAAUUAUAGAAUAUCUACUCUUAAACAGGGACUUUUGCUCCACUAAAUAAGCACAUCAAAACCUGAAUUAAUAUCUUGGAAUAUUAAAGUAAUGAUUAAAACUCAUAAUUAAGAAUAAGACAAGUAUUUAUCAUAUAAUUCAAAUAAUAAUAAGAUCUAUCUUAGGUUUCAUCUCUCUUAGGUAUUUAGGGAGUUUAGUUCAUAACGAUAGGGGAAAACAUCUCAAAAUUGGGAAAAUAACAAAACAUAAGAAACCCAAAAACUUUGGUAGAAAUUGAAUGUAGAUCUUUAGUCUUGAAGUAAUUCCUGCUUCCGAGCUGAUUCCAAUGGCUGUCUUUGAGUAUUUUCUACCUUUCACUCUCUGUGUCCCCCUUGAUCCUCUUCUCGCGUGUUUAAAUAGACUUUGGAAUGCCCAAAAUUGCCCAAAAUUAGCCUUUUCCGAGUAGAAUUAAAAUAGGUCUCGACAGGGACAUGGCCAUGUGGCAUGCCCGUAUAGUGGUUCUCAAGCUGUGUGCAAUUCUGAUAUGGUUUUAAGUCGACACGGCCAUUACACACAGGCGUGUGGUCUGCCCAUGUGUCUCACACGGGCGUGUGGAUUACCAGUGUGGAAGUGUCUAGGCCGUGUGCAACACUGAAAUAAACCUAUAUUUUGUCCGUUUUCGGCCUUUUUCUUGCACUUUUCGCUUUCCUAUUCUCAUCUAGAUAUAAAACAUGAAAUUUACGGAUUAGGAGCAUCAAAUUCACUAAAUCUUAUGAUAAAUCAUCCAAAAAUAUGCCAAGUAUAGGAUUAAAAUAUGUUACUUUUAAGGUUUAUUAUACAGAUUAACAAUACUCUCAAAAUUGUAUAAAUAAUUUAACUUGUAGUCCCUAUUUAUAAAGAAACAGUACAUAAUAUCUAUUCAAAUAAGAUGUAAUCAAAUGAUAAUAUUUUAAUAAAAAAAUAAAAAUUCUACUUGAAGUAGAAUAGGUGGGGGCGGUGGCUUGGCUUAGAAUAUAAUAGUGUUUACCAUCGCUUCCUUUAACUAAGCCUAAUUUGGGCAUUAUUGGGUACUAUUAUUAUAUAUAUAUUUUGAAAUUUUAUUCGACACUUAUAAUUUAUGUAGUUCAAUAUUAUUUUUUAUUUCUCAAAUAUAUCAAUUAAUUAAAACAGUUGUUCUGUAUUAAAAUAUAUUUAAUUACUUUAUUUAAAAAAAUUCAUAAUAAUUAAUUGAUUUUAUUUCUCGCAAGUUAUUUAAUUAUAAUUAAUUAAACAAUAAUUGAAAAAAUGGGCCACCACCUGCUUGCCGCAAAAAACAAAGAAAAUUGAUAUAAAAAACCUUCAUAUCAAACAAUCUUUUCUAAUAAAUUUCUCAAUUCGCUGUGAAUUAGAUCAUGUUUCUGAUUUCUAAUAAAUUUCUUGGUGUUGAUUAUAUUAAAAAAAAGACCACAUAUCAAAUAAAUUUUUCUUAGCAGAAGAUAAAAUAAUUUAUAAUAUCAAUACAUCAAUCAUGUUAAUAAAUAAUAAAUAAUAAAUUAAAGUCAAUGGACAAAUCCACACGAAAAUCAAAACGCAGGGGGAGGAAACUUCCAAUCUAGACUCUGUUGAAUUUUUGGGAUUAAAUUGAAAUUUAAAAGUAUUUAAAAGAAUUCUUGUGUAUGCCUUAAAUUAUUUUUUAUUUAUUUUAUGUAUCACGUUUAAGAUUAUUUAUUUGAUGUAUUAUGUGCUUUUCUUACACAUUUGCUUAUAUGGUUAUAAAAUUUAUAACUUUUAGACAUGGUCACUCCACUCUUACAAGUAAAAUCUAGCUACCCUCUAAGAUCACUUUGUUGAACAAUGCUCACUCACACCGGAUGACAGAAAGGAGGAAAGUUGCCUAUAUGCUACCUCCUCCGGCUGACUUGAAGAAUGCCACGAUCAUAUUUUGGGCACAAGAGCAGUUGAAUGGAAAUUAAGCAAAUCUGUCAACUGAGCUCUACUUAGUUGAUGCUUGUUCUCAAGCACACCUUUUGUUCAAUCAUUCGAGUCAUCUAACAAUAACCCGGAUAAAGUUUUCAUUCCAUGGACUUAUUCAAUUUAAGUAAAGGGAUGUAAUAUCAAUAACAUCUCAACUGACAUUAACUCAAAAAAUAAGUGUAGGAAUCAUCAUGUUUGACUUACUCAAAGAAUUUAUUCUCAUGAAAAUUAAACUAACAUUCAGUUAGACUCGCACACACAUUUCUUUCUUUCUUUUAUCUUUUUCUUUUUUCUUUUGUUUAAGAUAUUGUCGAAUCUUCUAAGGCAAAAUGAGAUCACAACUCAAACAUUCCAUUAUGGUUACACAAUUCAAUAUAUCUCUAAACAAUUAUUUUUCUCUAUUUAUGACACCGUGAUUAGUGUAAUUUAUUGACUUGAAAUAUCACUCGACCUUUUGACGCAAAGUGAGAUGACAAUCUACUGCUCUGCGCAAAAAAUAAAGAAAGUUCAUUAGAGACCAUGUUUCUGAUUUCUAAUAAAUUUCUAGAUUCGCUGUUAAUUUCUGAAGGAGAAUUAGAAAAAAAAGAAAGAAAAGAUUUCAUAUAUCAAACAAACAUUUGUUUGCAGAAGUUAAAAUAAUUUAUAAAAUCGCCACAUCAAUCACAUGUAUAAUAUUAAAUAAAUUAAAGUCAAUGGACAAUAUCCACACGAAAACAGAAACGCUGUCAAGUUUCUUUUGCGUGAUCAAGAUUUGUGUUCUUUUUAAUAUUACCAUGGACAAAUCAAUCAUGUAUUAUAUAAAAUGUUUGGGACAAUAAAUUAAUUUCAUGUCUGUGGGUUUUAUCACUAUAAAUCUUUCUGUUUUCUUAAUAAAAUUGAAGCAACAAUUCUAUAGUUUUCAUCUACAUUUCGCCUCUGAAAUUAUAGUAAAGCAGAGACAAUGAAAGGAACAUUGAUGUUGAGUUGGAUUCUGAUCAUCUGCCUCUCCCAAGUAGCAGUGCGGAGCCAAUACUACUCAGAUACCCUACCAUAUCAUCCCAAGCCACCUAAGGUCACCAAUCUUCACUUCUUUAUGCACGAACAUACGGGUGUUACAGCUGUCGUGCUAACCCAAGCUAACGUCACAAGCAAUAAUUCAUCAGUGACAUUUGCCACCCUAGUUGCCGUUAAUGAUCCCCUCAGGACUGGUCCUGAGCCUGACUCAGAGGUGAUUGGAAAUGUUCAGGGUAUUUCCCUCUUAGCCGGAUCAAAUGCAUCGAGCACGCAGUACAUAGAAUUUGGAUUUAAUACCGGUAAGUUUAACGGCAGCUCUCUAAGCGUAUUUUCAAGGGGAGAACAAGGGCUUGCGGUGGUCGGAGGAAGAGGACGAUUCAUGAUGGCAACAGGGACUGCACUAUUUAACCCUAUCCUUAUAAAUGCCACCAAUGUUAUUAUGGAAUUUAACUUUACUGUAGUUCAUUACUAAGAUGUUAUUUACAGACUCAAUUCUCUUGGAUUGUGAAAAAGUCGUGUGAUUCUGCUCCACUUGGUUAGAAUAAAUGUAUGAGAUUAAAAUUCUCAUACUUCAUCAUUGUACUUUAUUAUUUUAUUACAAAUAAAGAUUAAAUUCUUAGCUACAAAAA
This 19887-nucleotide long non-coding RNA is filed under the name Gossypium barbadense (sea-island cotton). RNAcentral's name for it is "long non-coding RNA (GBAR_LNC002816)". Lineage: Eukaryota; Viridiplantae; Streptophyta; Magnoliopsida; Malvales; Malvaceae. The record is from RNAcentral.